RNAcentral lists this ribosomal RNA (199 nucleotides) under uncultured bacterium. RNAcentral's name for it is "partial 16S ribosomal RNA". It matches the Rfam family "Bacterial small subunit ribosomal RNA", at positions 1301 to 1500 of the family's 1533-position model. The record is from RNAcentral.
CAGGCNGCAACCCGCCUGCAUGAAGUCGGAAUUGCUAGUAAUCGCGGAUCAGCACGCCGCGGUGAAUACGUUCCCGGGCCUUGUACACACCGCCCGUCACACCAUGGGAGCCGGUAAUACCCGAAGUCAGUAGUCCAACCACGUGAGGACGCUGCCGAAGGUAGGAUUGGCGACUGGGGUGAAGUCGUAACAAGGUACC